Molecule: ribosomal RNA, 495 nt
Filed under: uncultured bacterium
Lineage: Bacteria
Description: partial 16S ribosomal RNA
Rfam family: Bacterial small subunit ribosomal RNA
Source: RNAcentral
GAUGAACGCUGGCGGCGUGCCUAAUACAUGCAAGUAGAACGCUGAAGGAGGAGCUUGCUCUUCUGGAUGAGUUGCGAACGGGUGAGUAACGCGUAGGUAACCUGCCUGGUAGCGGGGGAUAACUAUUGGAAACGAUAGCUAAUACCGCAUGACAACAGUUAUUGCAUGAUAACUGCUUAAAAGGGGCAACUGCUCCACUACCAGAUGGACCUGCGUUGUAUUAGCUAGUUGGUGAGGUAACGGCUCACCAAGGCGACGAUACAUAGCCGACCUGAGAGGGUGAUCGGCCACACUGGGACUGAGACACGGCCCAGACUCCUACGGGAAGCAGCAGUAGGGAAUCUUCGGCAAUGGACGGAAGUCUGACCGAGCAACGCCGCGUGAGUGAAGAAGGUUUUCGGAUCGUAAAGCUCUGUUGUAAGAGAAGAACGAGUGUGAGAGUGGAAAGUUCACACUGUGACGGUAGCUUACCAGAAAGGGACGGCUAACUACGUG